Molecule: ribosomal RNA, 1206 nt
Filed under: uncultured bacterium
Lineage: Bacteria
Description: bacterial SSU rRNA
Rfam family: Bacterial small subunit ribosomal RNA
Source: RNAcentral
CGGUGAAGCCCAGCUUGCUGGGUGGAUCAGUGGCGAACGGGUGAGUAACACGUGAGCAACCUGCCCUCCACUUCGGGAUAAGCCUUGGAAACGGGGUCUAAUACCGGAUAUGAGCUCGCAUCGCAUGGUGUGGGUUGGAAAGUUUUUCGGUGGGGGAUGGGCUCGCGGCCUAUCAGCUUGUUGGUGGGGUGAUGGCCUACCAAGGCGUCGACGGGUAGCCGGCCUGAGAGGGCGACCGGCCACACUGGGACUGAGACACGGCCCAGACUCCUACGGGAGGCAGCAGUGGGGAAUAUUGCACAAUGGGCGCAAGCCUGAUGCAGCGACGCCGCGCGAGGGAUGACGGCCUUCGGGUUGUAAACCUCUUUCAGCAGGGAAGAAGCGCAAGUGACGGUACCUGCAGAAGAAGCGCCGGCUAACUACGUGCCAGCAGCCGCGGUAAUACGUAGGGCGCAAGCGUUGUCCGGAAUUAUUGGGCGUAAAGAGCUCGUAGGCGGUCUGUCGCGUCUGGUGUGAAAUCCCGAGGCUCAACCUCGGGCUUGCAUCGGGUACGGGCAGACUAGAGUGCGGUAGGGGAGACUGGAAUUCCUGGUGUAGCGGUGGAAUGCGCAGAUAUCAGGAGGAACACCGAUGGCGAAGGCAGGUCUCUGGGCCGCAACUGACGCUGAGGAGCGAAAGCAUGGGGAGCGAACAGGAUUAGAUACCCUGGUAGUCCAUGCCGUAAACGUUGGGCACUAGGUGUGGGGCUCAUUCCACGAGUUCCGUGCCGCAGCUAACGCAUUAAGUGCCCCGCCUGGGGAGUACGGCCGCAAGGCUAAAACUCAAAGGAAUUGACGGGGGCCCGCACAAGCGGCGGAGCAUGCGGAUUAAUUCGAUGCAACGCGAAGAACCUUACCAAGGCUUGACAUGUACGAGAAAGCCCCCGAGACGGGGUUCUCUUUGGACACUCGUACACAGGUGGUGCAUGGUUGUCGUCAGCUCGUGUCGUGAGAUGUUGGGUUAAGUCCCGCAACGAGCGCAACCCUCGUCCUAUGUUGCCAGCGGGUUAUGCCGGGGACUCAUGGGAGACUGCCGGGGUCAACUCGGAGGAAGGUGGGGAUGACGUCAAAUCAUCAUGCCCCUUAUGUCUUGGGCUUCACGCAUGCUACAAUGGCCGGUACAGAGGGCUGCGAUACCGUAAGGUGGAGCGAAUCCCAAAAAGCCGGU